Myotis lucifugus (little brown bat) is the source of this 104-nucleotide small nuclear RNA. The record is from Ensembl. Lineage: Eukaryota; Metazoa; Chordata; Mammalia; Chiroptera; Vespertilionidae.
AUGCUUUGGCAGCACACAUACUAACAUUGGAACAAUACAGAGAAGAUUAGCAUGGCCCCUGCGCAAAGAUGGCACACAAAAUUUGUGAAGCAUUCCAUAUAUUA